AGUGAACGCUGGCGGUAGGCCUAACACAUGCAAGUCGAACGGCAGCACAGUAAGAGCUUGCUCUUACGGGUGGCGAGUGGCGGACGGGUGAGGAAUACAUCGGAAUCUACUUUUUCGUGGGGGAUAACGUAGGGAAACUUACGCUAAUACCGCAUACGACCUACGGGUGAAAGCAGGGGAUCUUCGGACCUUGCGGGAUUGAAUGAGCCGAUUUCGGAUUUGCUAGUUGGCGGGGGAAAGGCCCACCAAGGCGACGAUCCGUAGCUGGUCUGAGAGGAUGAUCAGCCACACUGGAACUGAGACACGGUCCAGACUCCUACGGGAGGCAGCAGUGGGGAAUAUUGGACAAUGGGCGCAAGCCUGAUCCAGCCAUACCGCGUGGGUGAAGAAGGCCUUCGGGUUGUAAAGCCCUUUUGUUGGGAAAGAAAAGCAGCAGGUUAAUACCCCGCUGUUCUGACGGUACCCAAAGAAUAAGCACCGGCUAACUUCGUG
This 492-nucleotide ribosomal RNA is filed under the name uncultured bacterium. RNAcentral describes it as "partial 16S ribosomal RNA". It matches the Rfam family "Bacterial small subunit ribosomal RNA", at positions 29 to 507 of the family's 1533-position model. The record is from RNAcentral.